GGUGAAGGCAAUUCAGCUGUGUGAGCCGAAGGGGUGGAGCCUGGCUGCAUCUCUCUUAGACCUCAUUUAAGGGCUGAAUGGCACUGCAGAGGAUCUCUGGCUGGAGAUUCCUCCCUGUGGAGCUUUCUCGUGUGAACUUGGAAUCUUCUGAUAUGGGUUGUCAUUUUCAAGCUAGAAGAAAUGUAUCCAAGGAAUGACAUGCUGCACCUUUCAAUCCCAGACCUCUGCAGGUGGUACAAAACCAGUCCAGCAGCUGUGGGGCUCUGGUUCACAGCAUGGGUGACCUGCCACAGGGGAAGG
Molecule: non-coding RNA, 300 nt
Organism: Meleagris gallopavo (turkey)
Lineage: Eukaryota; Metazoa; Chordata; Aves; Galliformes; Phasianidae
Source: RefSeq, a predicted model, not a curated record